CGGAACCGCAGGACUGUGAGGCGUCAGAACGAGAGCCAGCGGGCCGGGCAGAGCAGCAGAACCGGGUCGCGGACGAGCCGAGCUGUCGCCAUGGAGCUGAGGGUUGGGAACCGGUACCGGCUCGGCCGGAAGAUCGGGAGCGGCUCCUUCGGGGAUAUCUACCUGGGAACUGAUAUUGCUGCCGGAGAGGAGGUUGCAAUUAAGUUGGAAUGUGUGAAAACCAAACAUCCUCAGCUCCACAUUGAGAGUAAAAUCUACAAAAUGAUGCAGGGUGGAGUGGGUAUUCCCACAAUUAAGUGGUGCGGAGCUGAAGGGGACUACAACGUUAUGGUGAUGGAGUUGUUGGGACCGAGUCUUGAAGAUCUCUUCAAUUUUUGUUCAAGGAAAUUUAGUCUCAAGACAGUCCUAUUACUUGCUGACCAAAUGAUUAGUCGAAUUGAAUAUAUUCACUCUAAGAACUUCAUCCACCGAGAUGUGAAGCCAGAUAACUUCUUAAUGGGCCUGGGGAAGAAAGGCAAUCUUGUCUACAUAAUAGACUUUGGACUAGCAAAGAAGUAUCGAGAUGCUCGAACUCACCAACAUAUUCCAUAUCGUGAAAAUAAAAACUUGACAGGAACUGCCCGUUAUGCAUCCAUCAACACUCAUCUUGGAAUCGAGCAAUCUCGCAGAGAUGACUUGGAGUCCUUGGGCUAUGUACUGAUGUAUUUUAACCUGGGCUCCCUCCCCUGGCAGGGACUGAAAGCAGCAACAAAGAGGCAGAAAUACGAACGUAUCAGUGAAAAGAAAAUGUCUACACCCAUUGAGGUUUUGUGUAAAGGAUAUCCUUCUGAAUUUGCCACGUACUUGAAUUUCUGCCGUUCUUUGCGUUUUGAUGACAAGCCGGACUACUCCUAUCUGAGGCAAUUAUUCAGAAACCUCUUUCAUCGGCAGGGGUUCUCCUAUGACUAUGUCUUUGACUGGAACAUGCUGAAAUUUGGUGCAAGCAGAGCAGCUGAAGAUGCUGAACAUGAAAGGCGAGAACGAGAGGAAAGAUUAAGACAUACACGAAAUCCAGCUGUACGUGGAUUACCCUCCACUGCUUCUGGCAGGCUAAGAGGAACGCAAGACGUAGCUCCUCCUACUCCCCUUACCCCAACUUCACAUGCUGCCAACACCUCUCCUCGGCCAGUAUCUGGCAUGGAACGAGAAAGGAAAGUGAGUAUGAGAUUGCAUCGUGGUGCCCCAGUCAAUAUCUCCUCGUCUGAUUUAACAGGCCGACAAGAUACCUCUCGCAUGUCGACUUCGCAGUGAAGAAGCAGAGUAAGAGGCAGUAGUGAAUCCUGUUUCCAAAUCAACAGAGCAGAGAAUAUUGGUGCAGAAAAGGCAAGAUCCAUUUGGUGAAGAACAGAAGGUGCAGUAGUGAAGAAAUGUUGUAGUGCAGUGCUCUUAAUUCAGAGCUGAUAAGAGGCUGCAUACAUGGAUGAUGGAUACGUUGCAGAAGGCUCAUUUGAAGAGAAUGGCAGGAGGAUAAAUGAUAAUGAUUCGUAGUCAGCGCUGAAAUCAUCCUUACUGGUCACAGUGACUUAACAAAGACAUUUUAGGAAUCUUUCUUUUUAGGACUGACGAUGUUAGAUGUGUUUCUAACUCUGUACUAUAGCUGAAACAUUCCUUCCUCAGCAUAUUCACGGUCUUGUCCCAAACAGCGUGUGGCCUGGCUUUGUACAAUUUGCUUUCAGUCUUACUUACAGAAUGGAAAUCAGCCAAAUUAUAGACAUUCUGCAACAUUUCUGGGAAAGCAGUGUGUUACGGGGACUGGUGCAAUGACCUAGGGGUUUUUCCAUUGUGCCUCACUACUGUGCAGGAGUUCUAACUGCAUAAUUUUUGCCAGGGACUCGUUCCUCAUUGACAGAGCACAUUGACAAAAAUUAACUCGGUUACUUUUGGCGUCAUCAUUUAAUUGGCAGAGUUUAUUGGUUUUGGAUAAUACAUGGUCUUACGUACGAAAUCUGACUGCCAGAAAGAACAGUUUUUUAGAUGAGGGCCAAGUCGGUAUCUCUAACGAAGACUGAGAGUGAACUGGGUGGAAGAAACAAUUCCGUUGUGAUAAAAGCAAAGUGGCAUUUUGUGGGCUUUCAAGCUGAAUGAGUUGUUUCACCAUGGAGCUGCGCAGGUACUUGUGCUUGCAUGAGGGAUGAACGGUUCAGGAGCAGAAAUGGCUGGACAAGAAUAGGGAGUAGGUGAGGUUUUCUGUAUUGGGUUGGUGACAAAUUUCACCAUCUUAAAUUGCUCACUGAACUGCUAUUCUUGCCACCAGAAAUUCUCAUGUUGAAGUAUUUUUAAAUAGUAUGAGAACAAAGAGGGUAGAGUUGUGCAUAGUUAUGGAUCUUGUAAAUUUGCCUAAAUACCUGUUAGAAGAAUGUAAAGAAGGUGCAACUGGACUGUUCGCAGCAAUAUCCAGUGAAUGGGCAAUGGACAGUGGGCACAAAUUGAAAUAUAGGAAAUUCCAUUUAGACGGAUGAAGAAACUUUUUUACUAUGAAGGUGGGCAUGGACUGUAACAGGUUGCCCAAAACGAUUGUGGAGUCUCCCUUUUCCAAAGUACUUGGAGCCCAAUUGGACAUUGUCCUGAGUAGCCUGGUCUAGUUGACUGUGCUGUGGGUAGUGAGAUUGGGCUACAUGAUUUCCAGGGCUCCUUUUUGACCUUGGGUAUUCUGUGAGGCUGUGAUGCAGAGUUCUCCCUGAACAUUUGCUUGAAUGUAAAUAUGGUUUUCUGGAAAAGGUCUGUGGCAUUCUGAGAAAAUUUCAGAUACUUUCUCUGUUACCAGUCAGAUAUACAAGUAAUAGCAGUAACAGACAGAAAUGCAGUGAUGCUGCUUAAUUGUGUUACAUGAAAGUGUAUCUUUAAUUUUUUUGUUAUGUUCGUGACACGUCGCUCAGUGCGCAGGUGACACUUUUCUAAGCAUUUCAAGAUACGAGUAGUACAAGUGGGCUUGUAGAUACAUUUUGGUUCUGCCUAGCCUGUAAAGUGUGAAUACUGUGAGGGCAGUUGCCAGUUCUCUGUGUAGUCUUUAAACAUCCAGAUACCUAAUUUGUGAUGAGGGCCAACGGUACGGUCUGGCUUAAUGACGCAUUCCAUACCUGCCUUUUUUAACACUCUGCUUCAAGUAUAGGAUCGCUUGGUUGACUUCUUUACAAUCCCAACAGCGGCCUAGUUGGGAUCUUCUCUUGAGUUUGUCAGAACUAAUCAUUUGUUGCCUGCUGUAUUCAUUUAGUUCUUAAGACAGUGAAGCAGUGCUGGUAUCUAUUUGUGGUGACCAAAUAACUGUGUGUGACUCUAGUAUAAUUUGAACAGAUUCCCGUAGGCCUGUUGGAAUUGGAAGGCAAGAGAGAUUUGCAGUGGGAAAUGGGUUAGAUUGGAAGGGAGCUUAAAGAUUGCCUCGUUCCAACUCCCCUGCCAUGGGCAGAGAACCUUCCAGUAGGCCAGGUUACUCAGAACCCCAUUCAGCCUGGCCUUGAACAUCUCCAGGGGUGGGGAGUCCACGACCUCUCUGGGCAACCUGUUCCAAUGCCUCACUGCCCUUUAUAGUAAAGAAUGUCUUCCUAAAAUAUAAUUUUUCCCUCCUUCAGGUUAAGGCCACUCACCCUUGUCCUAUCACUACAUGCGCUUUUUACGUGCUAUGUGAACAGCCCCUCUGCAGCCUUCUUGUAAGCCCCCUUUAGGUACUGCAAGGCUACUCUCAGUUCUCCCCAAAGUCUUUUCUUCUCCAGACUGAACAGCCCCAACUCUCUCAGCCUGUUUGCGUAGGAGAGAUGCUGCAGCCCCAUCAUCAACUUAGUGGCUCUCCUCUGGACUCAUUCUAACAUUGUCAGUGCUGUUCUUGCAUCAGGGGCCCCAGACCUAGGCACAGUACUUCAGGUGGGGUCUCACAAGAGCAGAAUAGAGGGCAAGAAUCCCCUCUCUUGAGUUGCUGGUCACUUUUCUUUUGAUGCAGCCCAGGACACGGUUGGCUUUCUGGGCUGCAGGCGCAUGUUGCUGGCUCACGUUGAGCUUCUAAUCCGUGAAGACCCCCUAGUCUUUCUCCCCAGAGCUAGUCUUGAUCCAUUCUCCAGCCAGCCUGUACUUAUGCUUGACAUUGACCUGAUGUGUAUGCCGGACCUUGCACCUGACCUUGUUGAACUGCGUGAGGCUCCCAUGGACCCACUUCUCAAGCCUGUUGAGGUCUCUCUGGAUGGCAUCCCUUCCCUCCGGCAUGUCAACUGCACCACACAGCUUGUUGUCAGCAAAUUUGCUGAGGGUACACUUGAUCCCACUGUCCAUUUUGCUGACAAAGAUGUUGAACAGCGCUGGUCCCAAUACUGACCCCUGAGGAACAAACACCGCUCGUCACUGCUUUCCGCUUGGACAUCGACUCAUUAACCACAAUUCUUUGAGUGCAACCAUCCAUCCAGUUCCUUAUCCUCUGAGUGGUCCAUGUGUCAAAUCUGUGUCUCUGAAGUUUAGAGAUAAGGAUAUCAUGUGAGACAGUGUUCAGUGCUUUGCACAAGUCCAGGUGGGUGAUGUCUGUUGCUUUUCCCUCAUCCACCACUGCUUAACUCCACUGUAGGAGGUUGCCGAAUUUGUCAGGUGCGAUUUAACUUUAGUGAAGCCGUGUCAUCUGACACCAGUCACCUGCUUAUUCUCCAUGUGCCUUAACAUAGUUUCCAAGAGGAUCUGUUACAUGAUUUUGCUAGGCGCUGAGGUGAGACUGGCCUGUAGUUCCCUGUGUCAUCUUUCCUUUAUAAAACUGGGGGUUGUGUUUCCCCUUUUCCAGUCAGAAGGAACUACGCUGGACUGCUGUGACAUCUCAAAUAUGAUGGAUAGUGGUGUAGUCCCUUACUCAGCUGGUUGCCAUAGGACCCAUGGAUGUAUGUCAUCAGGUCCCACGGACUUGUGCACUUUCAGGUUCCUUAAACAGUCUCAAACCCCCUCUUCUUCCACAGUGGAUGGUUCUUCAUUUUCCCAAUCCCUGCCUUCACCUUCUGCAACCUGGGUGGUGUAGCUGAAACACUUUACUCAGACUUCAGCUUGUAACACUUCCACUUGAGCUUGUUAGAGAAAAUUCACUUUUCGUUUUCUCAGUUCUCGCUCUCUAGAAGGCAAGAUGGUGCAAGUUGCAGGUGUCGAUAGCGUCUGCUGUUACAGUCUCCAUAAUAUUAGAGUAGCUCUUCUGUAAUCAAAAUUUAUCCUUAGAUCUUAGCCAAGUUACCAAUUAUAGCCAUGAGUUUCCAAUUAUCUUUAUACCUUGUUCUUAGGAAAACCUAAAGUAUUCAAGUUAUGUGGCAAAGUCAUUAAAGAGAAUUUUGAUUGGAUAGAUGUAAGAAUACAGAAAGUCAUCCGUAUCACUUCUUUUCAAGAGAACCAUAAAGAGUAGCAAUUGUUUGUUCAUGUCCAUUCCAAGUGUGCUAGUUUCCUUAGUAAGUCUUAAGGAAGUAUACUGCCACAGGUCCUUUUUUCAGGAAGUGCUUAAGCUAUACUCCUGGUAGAAAGCAACUUUUAGAGUUUGCCAUGCACAUCUACAGAUGUUUUCUGUUAAGAACUACGUUUGUUAGAGUUCUUAUUUAUAACUUGAUGAAUUAGUUUUGUUACUUUAUUUAUUUGUAUGCCUUGGUUUGGUAAUGCAACGGUGCAUCUGUAAUCUCCACCUCUAUUCAUCUAGAGGAAAGGCUGCUGCUUGUUAAACUCUGGACGGUGAAAUGUGCAGAGGUUACUCAAACAAGGAAAGCUACUUGCCUCUAAGUAGAGUUCUUCUUAAAGAUGACUACUCCACAUGUUUAUCUUUCUUUUUUUCCAAGUUGAAUUCUGAUCAGGUCAGACUGAAACUGAAAACCUAAGGCUGUGGAUGCAAAUAAUAGGAACCAAAAUUCUGUUACGAAAACCAGGCAUUCUCAGAGAAAUUUAACGCUUGUGGAAAAAUGGUAAUUUGUAAGCAUAGCAAAAUAGGUGUCAUUUAUUCCCCACAUCCAAGAUAGUGUCCACAUAGCACCUAAGUCAUUCUCCUUAAAAAGACAUGCUGUUUCUAACGCUAAGUAAUGAGUGUUUACUGGAGUAACAGCUACCAUGUCUAUGAAAUGGUUCAUGAAACUUAAGUGUUUCUAAUGCAGUUACGUAAAUUCUGUGGCACAUGUUGUUCUUUUCUGGAUUAUAUGAAGUGAACGCAACAGUGAAAAACCUGCAAGUUGUGAGUUCACAGCGAUGAACAUUAGUGGGAGCUGAGCGGUCAAGCAUAGUCUAUUCAAAUGUGUAUUCCUGCAGUACUCCAAAUUCUGGUUAGGAUGAAGGAGUGGAGGCCAUUUUCCUAUAUGGGGGAACUAUAUCUGUGGUAAGUAAUGACUGAGGGGGCAGGUGUAAUGUUGGAGAGGUUAGUGUGGUUUCAUAAUGAAAGGGCACAAUUUCCUCCUUGAAUCCAUGUAUGAUACAGGAACGAACAGAAGCGGAGAUGUUUCUCUGUGUCAUUAGCGAGGUGGAUUGGGAAAACAGAUUGUCCAAUGCAAGAGGUUCAAAUCUACUACUUUCAGUUUGUCUGAAAGCUAAGAAAAUGUCUUGAGUGAGUUGGUGUCAUGUUUGAGAUACAAUGACUUUAACAGGAAUUAAAGGAGAAAACAUGUGAAGAAGCUAUUGCUUAAAAUUAAAACCGCUAACAUGUAAGGAAAGGCAAAACAGAGGUUUAAGUGAAGGUAGUUACCUACUGAAACAACUUCUAAAAUAAGUAGAUCAUCUCUCCUCUCUGCCUCUGCAUCAACACUGGAUUCAUUUCUAAGUGGUGUAUUCCAGUCUAAAGCAAGUCUAAAUUACAUGUGUGUGUAAUGAAGGGCGGUGAUCUGUGUUGGACAGAAAAUCAUACCAGCUGUUAAAAGAUCCUUCUGCUCUUAAGCUCUCUUAAGAGAAUUGUUCCCUAAGUCUCCUUUACAGACUUUUUAAACAUUAAAGAGACAUAGUAAAGGAGGUAGUAAAUGAGGUAAUGAGUAUUCUAGUAAAAACUACUGUGAAUCAGCUCUGUCGGUCCACAUGCACAGACUGCAUCCUGAAAGCAGUGAUCAUCUCAAGAGUCUAGUUACAGGUGAGUAGUCUUCAUUUCCUUCUACAAAAGGUUCAGUCUGACUGCUCAUGGCUACGCAGUAAGUUCUUUAAUUUUUUUUUCUUGAAUGUAGCAUGUUCAGCACCCAACAGUCAGAGCUGUUGCAAAUUCCUAUUGGUAAUAGAGGUAUUCUCUCUGUAGUUGGAAGAAAAGAUUGAAAUGCUGCACAAAGAAAUGUUUUACUAAAUCUCUUUGAUGGGAGACGUUUUUAGAAGACUACAGCCAACACUGGCAUUGAAUAACUUAAAUGUUGUGCCAUACUUCAGUGCUUCUGCAUUCUCCAUUUCCUCAUCCGCAAAUCUUUCUCCACGUGUACAUCUUAAUAGGCAUCAUACUCUGCGUUGUUCUUCUGACCCUGUCAUCUUCCUUUGAGGAUUAAUGAUUUGUUUCUUUUACGUGUCUCUUAACAUGAUGGAAAUGUCUUCUAGAAAUCUGAAAUCAGAGCUUCUCAAAAGAUAGAGUUGCUACUGCAAGCUCAGUUUGGAUGUUUGUUCGACAUCUUUAUAUAUUGGGGCAGUGGAACUGUUACAAAUUGCUGUCUUUUCCCCUACCUCAGAAUAGCAUUCCUUUCGAACACCAUGGCAAGUAGCUGCUCGUCUCCUUUCGUUGGAAGGCAGCACUGGAUUCCUGCUCGGGUAACUACCAGUGUUCUCCAG
RNA transcript from Corvus hawaiiensis (hawaiian crow), 7749 nucleotides. It is a transcript of the gene named casein kinase 1 delta, with no coding region annotated. The record is from RefSeq and is a predicted model, not a curated record. NCBI's taxonomy places the organism in Eukaryota, Metazoa, Chordata, Aves, Passeriformes, Corvidae. The transcript is spliced from 10 exons.